Molecule: ribosomal RNA, 253 nt
Filed under: uncultured bacterium
Lineage: Bacteria
Description: partial 16S ribosomal RNA
Rfam family: Bacterial small subunit ribosomal RNA
Source: RNAcentral
UACGUAGGGUGCAAGCGUUGUCCGGAAUUAUUGGGCGUAAAGAGCUUGUAGGUGGUUUGUCGCGUCUGCUGUGAAAAUCCGAGGCUCAACCUCGGACUUGCAGUGGGUACGGGUAGACUAGAGUGUGGUAGGGGAGACUGGAAUUCCUGGUGUAGCGGUGGAAUGCGCAGAUAUCAGGAAGAACACCCGUGGCUAAGGCGGCUCUCUAGUACGGUACUGACGCUGAGACGCGAAAGCGUGGGGAGCGAACAGG